UACGGGGGGAGCAAGCGUUGUUCGGAUUUACUGGGCGUAAAGGGCGCGUAGGCGGCCACCGCAAGUCGACUGUGAAAUCUCCGGGCUUAACCCGGAAAGGUCAGCCGAUACUGCGGGGCUAGAGUGCAGAAGGGGCAACUGGAAUUCUCGGUGUAGCGGUGAAAUGCGUAGAUAUCUGGAGGAACACCGGUGGCGAAGGCGGCGUCCUGGACCAACACUGACACUGAUGAGCGAAAGCCAGGGGAGCAAACGGG
Molecule: ribosomal RNA, 254 nt
Filed under: uncultured bacterium
Lineage: Bacteria
Description: partial 16S ribosomal RNA
Rfam family: Bacterial small subunit ribosomal RNA
Source: RNAcentral